Molecule: non-coding RNA, 749 nt
Organism: Electrophorus electricus (electric eel)
Lineage: Eukaryota; Metazoa; Chordata; Actinopteri; Gymnotiformes; Gymnotidae
Source: RefSeq, a predicted model, not a curated record
CAUAGAGAACUCACCAAUAAAGAGAAAAUGGCAUCAAAUCAGCCAACGCUGGAGGAGCAAGCUGGAGAAACUUGCUAAUAUAGAUGAAAGUGAGGUUUAUAGAUUGAAGAAUCUUACACUUUGUGUAAGCCCUGAAUUCCAGAUAGCUAAAGGAAGUGAUGGAACAGAGGUGUAUCUUGGCCUGAGGGAUGAUGGCACAGAGGUAGCAGUCAAACGAAUGCUUAAGUCCAAUUAUCAAGACCUCAAAAAUGAGGAGGAGUUUUUACGGCUUCCCAAGCUUGACAAUCCUUGUAUUGUUAGAUAUGUGGACUUUGCAGAGGAUGAGAAUUUUGGAUAUCUUGUCCUUCAACUUUGUGAAUACACACUGGAGGAAUAUAUCCAAAGCCAAUUACCAGAAAAUAGCUUUCAACAGCAGGCUGUCCUGAAGGAAAUUGUAAAGGAAGUGCUAUGUAGCCUUGAAGUUCUUCAUAGUCAAGAUACCAAAGUGCUCCAUCGGGACAUCAAACCCCAGAAUGUUUUGAUAGAUAUAAUUGGAAAGGCAAGAUUAGCUGAUUUUGGCAUAAGUCGAAGGCUGAAUGUGGGUCAAACAACUUUGCGCACUAGUCCUGCUGGAACAAAGUGCUGGAAAGCCAAAGAGACUAUUGAAGAGGACAGUAAUAGUGGCUACAAGAGGAGUUCUGAUAUCCAGGUUGCAGGAAUGUUAGUGUAUUACAUCCUCUCUCGUGGACACCAUCCUUUUGGUAAAGGUG